RNA transcript from Lactuca sativa (garden lettuce), 1012 nucleotides. It is a transcript of the gene named zinc/iron-chelating domain protein, with no coding region annotated. The record is from RefSeq and is a predicted model, not a curated record. NCBI's taxonomy places the organism in Eukaryota, Viridiplantae, Streptophyta, Magnoliopsida, Asterales, Asteraceae.
GUACAUUGAAAUGUGGAAUGGAUGAAGUCCCAAGAUAAGAAGAUACAGUUUUUUUGCAAUGUCGAGGGCGAUGUUGGCGGUUGUUCCCUACUCUUUCGCCGCCGUCAAACCGGCACCGGAACAACCACAUCGGAGUCAAGUCUCAAUAAAAACCCAGAAAAAGGCUUCCCGUAGCAGCACCGCCGGUUUCGGAGCCAAGAAAAGGGAACCUCUUUGGCAGUGCGUAAAGAAUUGCGGUGCCUGCUGUAAGUUGGACAAGGGUCCCGCUUUCCCCUCCCCUGAAGAAAUCUUCGACGAUCCUUCUGAUAUUCAACUAUAUAAAAGCUUGGUAGGCAUGGAUGGGUGGUGCAUCCAUUUCGAGAAAAGCACAAGAACAUGCUCCAUAUAUGCUGAUCGACCAUACUUUUGUCGAGUUGAACCAGAUGUUUUUGAAACUUUAUACGGAAUUGACAAGAAAAAAUUCAACAAAGAAGCUUGCAGUAGCUGCAUAGAUACAAUUAAAGCUGUUUAUGGCUCUCAAUCAGAGGAAUUGGACAAAUUCAAAAAUGCAAUUAGGAGCUAACUUACAACAUGAUAAUUAUCUUGUUACUCUUUGAAAUCACUCAUUGACUUUUGUGGUCAAAUGUGUGGUUUUGUAUGUAGAGGGAGACAAAGGAGAGCCUGAUGACUACCAAAACCAUUGUUUUUUAGCCUUUAAAAAUGGUAUAAUUCACUUUCUACUAAAAUGGUUGCAGACAACAUAAUGGGGGGACGUAGUUGAUAAUUUCAAUCACAACACAAAACCAUCAAACUUGUGAUUUUUAACAUCAAUUUUUAUUUCCAGAUGGAAUCCAACAUUUAAAAUCACAUCAAAAACAUAGUUGAUAGUUGAUAAUUUAGUAAUAAGAUAACACAUUAUAAAUAUAAACAAAAUGCAACUCUAUGCUUUGUGAGUGAAAUUCACUGUAGCUAAAUGUAUGUAUUGAUAUGCAUAAUGUACAAGUAUAUUAAUGCGUGAAUUUCAAGUCUAAUC